AGAAAAGUUCUGUGAAACUGUAAUGUCUUCGGGUAUAGAUAAUCACUUGGAAAUGGGAGGAGGGGAUAGUAGGCUAGUUAAUUUGUGGUUGAUGAAAUUUUAAAAGAUCAAUGCCUUGAAAGUUAGAGUGGAAUCCAGGGGUAAUGACACUGGACUGCUACCAAAGCUUUGUUAUGUGUUACCCAGAAAUAUGACUCUCAGUGGUGAAUUCUUGUAACUUUCUCUAAAUGGAUUAUUCCCAUCUGGAGAAGCAUUAUGUGUUAAAGGUGACUACUGAUAGAGGUGGCAAGAGAUAAUUCCAUAGCAGGAAAAGCAACUUGCAGUAUUUUUUAUGUCAAAUUGACUUUAUCCUAGUGAAAGGAUAGUAUGUGAAAUAAA
Molecule: long non-coding RNA, 378 nt
Filed under: Homo sapiens (human)
Lineage: Eukaryota; Metazoa; Chordata; Mammalia; Primates; Hominidae
Description: non-protein coding lnc-C3orf38-4:1
Source: RNAcentral